RNAcentral lists this long non-coding RNA (384 nucleotides) under Dermacentor andersoni. RNAcentral's name for it is "uncharacterized LOC126537947". Lineage: Eukaryota; Metazoa; Arthropoda; Arachnida; Ixodida; Ixodidae. The record is from RNAcentral.
AACACUGUCUGUCGCUACCCCACGUUGUGUGGGAUAGGAUUUUAAGUAAGUUCAUUGUUCUAAGACAUUUUUCUUUAAGAUGUUUUAUGUGAGGUAUGAAAGUGAGCCUGGAGUCAAGAAUAACACCAAGGAAUUUGUGUUCUUUGUUGACAGGGAUUUGUUGUCCGCCCAGUUCUACACAAGGAUCUGGGACCAGGCCUCUCUUUCUUGUGAAGAGAACACAAGAACAUUUGUGGGGGUUGACCUUAAAUCCGUUUUCGUCUGCCCACUUGGAAACCUUGUUCAAGCCCUGCUGUACCUGUCUUUCGCAUACUGUGAGGUUGCAGGAUUUGAAGCCUAUUUGUAUAUCGUCUACGUAUACGGAAUAAAAAAUGGCAGGUGGUA